GAUGAACGCUGGCGGCGUGCUUAACACAUGCAAGUCGAACGAAGCACUUUAUUUGAUUUCCUUCGGGACUGAUUAUUUUGUGACUGAGUGGCGGACGGGUGAGUAACGCGUGGGUAACCUGCCUUGUACAGGGGGAUAACAGUUGGAAACGGCUGCUAAUACCGCAUAAGCGCACAGCAUCGCAUGAUGCAGUGUGAAAAACUCCGGUGGUAUAAGAUGGACCCGCGUUGGAUUAGCUAGUUGGUGAGGUAACGGCCCACCAAGGCGACGAUCCAUAGCCGAGCUGAGAGGGUGACCGGCCACAUUGGGACUGAGACACAGCCCAAACUCCUACGGGAGGCAGCAGUGGGGAAUAUUGCACAAUGGGCGAAAGCCUGAUGCAGCGACGCCGCGUGAGCGAAGAAGUAUUUCGGUAUGUAAAGCUCUAUCAGCAGGGAAGAUAAUGACGGUACCUGACUAAGAAGCACCGGCUAAAUACGUG
Molecule: ribosomal RNA, 481 nt
Filed under: uncultured bacterium
Lineage: Bacteria
Description: partial 16S ribosomal RNA
Rfam family: Bacterial small subunit ribosomal RNA
Source: RNAcentral